This 207-nucleotide ribosomal RNA is filed under the name uncultured bacterium. Its description in RNAcentral is "partial 16S ribosomal RNA". It matches the Rfam family "Bacterial small subunit ribosomal RNA", at positions 568 to 774 of the family's 1533-position model. The record is from RNAcentral.
CGCGUAGGCGGGUUAUUAAGUGAGAGGUGAAAUUCCGGGGCUCAACCCAGGAACCGCCUCUCAUACUGAUAGUCUUGAGUGAGGUAGAGAGAAGUGGAAUGGCUGGUGUAGCGGUGAAAUGCGUAGAUAUCAGUCGGAACACCGGUGGCGAAGGCGGCUUCUUGGGCCUUUACUGACGCUGAUGCGCGAAAGCCAGGGUAGCGAACG